Potamilus streckersoni is the source of this 73-nucleotide non-coding RNA. NCBI's taxonomy places the organism in Eukaryota, Metazoa, Mollusca, Bivalvia, Unionida, Unionidae. The record is from the annotation of a GenBank genome assembly.
GUUCCGAUGGCCUAGUGGUUAGAGCGUCCGCCUCGGAUGCGGGAAGUCAUGGGUUCGAUCCACGACCGAAUCA